UCCGUAGGUGGAUAAUUAAGUCAGGGGUGAAAGUCUGCAGCUCAACUGUAGAAUUGCCCUUGAUACUGGUUGUCUUGAGUCAUUAUGAAGUAGUUAGAAUAUGUAGUGUAGCGGUGAAAUGCAUAGAUAUUACAUAGAAUACCAAUUGCGAAGGCAGAUUACUAAUAAUGUACUGCCACUGAUGGACGAAAGCGUGGGGAGCGAACAGGAUUAGAUACCCUGGUAGUCC
RNAcentral lists this ribosomal RNA (229 nucleotides) under uncultured bacterium. Its description in RNAcentral is "partial 16S ribosomal RNA". It matches the Rfam family "Bacterial small subunit ribosomal RNA", at positions 568 to 796 of the family's 1533-position model. The record is from RNAcentral.